RNAcentral lists this ribosomal RNA (488 nucleotides) under uncultured bacterium. RNAcentral describes it as "partial 16S ribosomal RNA". It matches the Rfam family "Bacterial small subunit ribosomal RNA", at positions 28 to 507 of the family's 1533-position model. The record is from RNAcentral.
GACGAACGCUGGCGGCGUGCUUAACACAUGCAAGUCGAACGGAAAGGCCCUGCUUUUUUGGGGUGCUCGAGUGGCGAACGGGUGAGUAACACGUGAGUAACCUGCCCUUGACUUUGGGAUAACUUCAGGAAACUGGGGCUAAUACCGGAUAGGAGCUCCUGCUGCAUGGUGGGGGUUGGAAAGUUUCGGCGGUUGGGGAUGGACGCGCGGCUUAUCAGCUUGUUGGUGGGGUGGUGGCUUACCAAGGCUUGGACGGGUAGCCGGCCUGAGAGGGUGACCGGCCACACUGGAACUGAGACGCGGGCCCGGGUACUACGGGAGGCAGCAGUGGGGGAGAUUGGACAAUGGGCGCAAGCCUGAUCCAGCCAUGCCGCGUGGGGGAAGAAGGCCUUCGGGUUGUAAAGCCCUUUGGUUGGGGAAGAAAAGCAGGAGGUUAAUACCCCGCUGUCCUGACGGUACCGAAAGAAUAAGCACCGGCUAACUUCGUG